UCCCUUUGGUCCCUUCCUCUCCCAGCAGCCCCUUCCUCCUCUCUUCUCCCUUUCUUUUUCCUCUCCCCUUCCUCUUCCUUCCCUCUCCCUUUUCCCUCAGACCGCCCUCUCUCCUCCAUUUCUCCCUUCUCUCACCCUUCCAAUUCUCCUCCAGCCGCCUCUCCCCUUCCUCUUGAUCUCCGACGCCGUCCUAUUUCUCCUCUUCGUCCAGCAGCUCCAGGAGGCGAGCACCAUAGGCGAUAUCAACAAUUUGGGGCACUGUGCUAAGUAUCUCAACCAAACAUUGGUCACUUUCGGGUUUCCUGCUUCUCUCGAUCUUUUUGCGCCAGACCCAGUUUCAAUUGCAAGGACUUGCAAUUGUGUAUAUGCAAUAUUACAGCAGAGGCAGAGGGAUACUGAAUUCAGAGAGUCCACAAAUGAGCAGACACCACUGUUGCACCGAAAUAUGUGAAUCCAGCAAGAAAAAGCUUCCCUUGGUACACAGAGUUGCUUCCCAUGAAGUCAUUCGAAAAAGCUCGAAUUAUAUUUUUAUUUCAUUAUUAUGUAAAUAUUGACGUUAGGCAAACCUUAGGGCGAUAAGUAUUAUUUUAUUUUUAUUGUGUAUAUUGCAUGUUUAUUAUAUUUGUACAUUAUUCCAUUCUCAUCCUCAAUUUGAAAAAAUGAACUCAGUCGGGAACCACAGUUGUGGAUUUCGAAGGGUGCCUAACCCCUUCCCUUCGUAAUAACUUGAACCCCUUACCUAGAAUCAAAUUGGUUUUGUAGACUUUUCUUUCAAGUUAAUUAAUGAUUGGUUUCCUAGUUUUCCUAAGAA
Molecule: long non-coding RNA, 811 nt
Organism: Solanum pennellii
Lineage: Eukaryota; Viridiplantae; Streptophyta; Magnoliopsida; Solanales; Solanaceae
Exons: 2
Source: RefSeq, a predicted model, not a curated record